Molecule: long non-coding RNA, 231 nt
Filed under: Trifolium pratense (red clover)
Lineage: Eukaryota; Viridiplantae; Streptophyta; Magnoliopsida; Fabales; Fabaceae
Description: long non-coding RNA (TPRA_LNC010441)
Source: RNAcentral
AUAAAUCCAGCCGCUCAGUCUGUAACCAAACCAGUACUCAAGUUGGACCAAUAGCAGCCAAGUUUCGUUUAGAGUAACGAUUGGAUUUUUACUCCCAAUUCUAUCAGUCACCUAAGCCGACAUAUUACGUAUCAUUAUCAGUUGAUUCAUAAACAAGUAACGCAGUUCAGUACUAACUUCAGCAAGUCGCCAAAUAAUAUUCAAACCUCUCAUCUAAUAACCCAACAAACU